UACAGAGGGGGCGAGCGUUGUUCGGAAUUACUGGGCGUAAAGGGCGCGUAGGCGGCCCGCUAAGUCGAACGUGAAAUCCCCGGGCUCAACCCGGGAACUGCGUCCGAUACUGGCAGGCUUGAAUCCGGGAGAGGGAUGUGGAAUUCCCGGUGUAGAGGUGAAAUUCGUAGAUAUCGGGAGGAACACCAGUGGCGAAGGCGGCGACCUGGACAGAUAUUGACGCUGAGGUGCGAAAGCGUGGGGAGCAAACAGG
Molecule: ribosomal RNA, 253 nt
Filed under: uncultured bacterium
Lineage: Bacteria
Description: partial 16S ribosomal RNA
Rfam family: Bacterial small subunit ribosomal RNA
Source: RNAcentral